GCUCUUUAAUAUAACUGAAAUAAGAACCACUAAUUAACUUCUAAGCAAACAUAUGAAAUUGGAGAAGGCAACUUACCUAUCUCGAACUAGUAAUUUACCACUAACAGAACCUCUUUGCCAGCUCUUUUGGAAGUCCUCAGAAAUUGGAAAGUUAUAAGGCCAAGUCUCUACUUCCCUCAGCAUCUGAAUAUAAAGAAUAGAAGCAUGGAAGUAUA
RNAcentral lists this long non-coding RNA (215 nucleotides) under Elaeis guineensis (African oil palm). Its description in RNAcentral is "long non-coding RNA (EGUI_LNC044971)". Lineage: Eukaryota; Viridiplantae; Streptophyta; Magnoliopsida; Arecales; Arecaceae. The record is from RNAcentral.